Molecule: non-coding RNA, 66 nt
Organism: Rhizobium sp.
Lineage: Bacteria; Pseudomonadati; Pseudomonadota; Alphaproteobacteria; Hyphomicrobiales; Rhizobiaceae
Source: Rfam
UGUCAAGCCUUUAGCGCCGUUUUGGUGAGCGGAUUUCUUUUGCCUUUUGAAAGGUGAAGGAAGAUG